GGGUCAAGUUAUUAAGGGUUUAUGGUGGAUGCCUUGGGUCCAAAAGCCGAUGAAGGGCGUGGCAAGACUGCGAAAAGCCUCGGUAUGCUGUCUAGCAAGCUUAACCGUGGAUUCCCCAAUGGGGCAACCCUAUCCGGGUUAUACCGGAUAACUUUUUAAGAGGUAACCAGGCGAACUGAAACAUCUAAGUACCCUGAGGAAAUGAAAUCAAACGAGAUUCCCUGAGUAGUGGCGAACGAAAGGGGAGUAGCCUAAACCAAGUGGGUUUAGUGGUCUAAGGACUUAUAUCCAUUUGGUGUUGUAACGCGCACAUGUCUUUGCCUUAGAGAAGAUAUAAGAGUAAAAAACCUUUGUUUUAGCAAAAAGAAUCUGGAAUGAACUACCAAAGAAGGUGACAGUCCUGUAUGCGAAAAGACAUUGGCUCUUAGUGUGUCGUUGAGUACCACGGGACACGUGAAAUCUUGUGGGAAUCUGGGGGGACCACCCUCCAAGGCUAAAUACUUUUGGACACCGAUAGUGAACUAGUACCGUGAGGGAAAGGUGAAAAGAACCCCGGGAGGGGAGUGAAAUAGACCUGA
Molecule: ribosomal RNA, 578 nt
Filed under: SAR202 cluster bacterium
Lineage: Bacteria; Bacillati; Chloroflexota; Dehalococcoidia
Description: partial 23S ribosomal RNA
Rfam family: Bacterial large subunit ribosomal RNA
Source: RNAcentral